UCCCAAGUAUUGAGCCUAGUUCAGUCUUCUGCCCUGUUCUGGUCAUUAAACUCUGGGACAGUAAGACACGGGCUGGGGAGAUAAUUGGGUAAAAGCUAUUUCUCUAUUUUCUUCCCAGCCCACAACA
Molecule: small nucleolar RNA, 127 nt
Organism: Sorex araneus (European shrew)
Lineage: Eukaryota; Metazoa; Chordata; Mammalia; Eulipotyphla; Soricidae
Source: Ensembl